RNAcentral lists this ribosomal RNA (1080 nucleotides) under uncultured Rhizaria. Its description in RNAcentral is "SSU rRNA". It matches the Rfam family "Eukaryotic small subunit ribosomal RNA", at positions 577 to 1674 of the family's 1831-position model. The record is from RNAcentral.
CGGUAAUUCCAGCUCCAAUAGCGUAUACUAAAGUUGUUGCAAUUAAAAAGCUCGUAGUUGGAUUUCUGCGGGGACGGAGCGGCCGGACGCAACUUGCGUCUCGAGCUAGCGCUUUCCCCGCAUCCUGCCGCGAACCGUGCUACCAUUAGCUUGGUGGCGCUGGGGAUCGGCUCGAUUACUUUGAGAAAAAUAGAGUGUUCAAAGCAGGCCACACGCCUUGAAUAAGUUAGCAUGGAAUAAUGACUAAGGACUUUGGUUCUUUUCGUUGGUGUUCGGAACUGAAGUAAUGAUUGAUAAAAACAGUUGGGGCGGUCUGUAUUCCAAAGCGAGAGGUGAAAUUCUUAGACCUUCGAAAGACAAACAGCUGCGAAAGCGUUCCGCAAGGAUGUUCCCUUUGAUCAAGAACGAAAGUUGGGGGAUCGAAGACGAUCAGAUACCGUCGUAGUCUCAACUAUAAACUAUACCAGCUAGGGAUCGGCCAACGUUUAAUUAUUCGACUUGGUCGGCACCUUAUGAGAAAUCAAAGCAUCUGGGUUCCGGGGGGAGUAUGGUCGCAAGGCUGAAACUUAAAGGAAUUGACGGAAGGGCACCACCAGGCGUGGAGUCUGUGGCUUAAUUUGACUCAACACGGGAAAACUUACCAGGUCCAGACAUAGGAAGGAUUGACAGAUUGAUAGCUCUUUCUUGAUUCUGUGGGUGGUGGUGCAUGGCCGUUUUUAGUCGGUGAAGUGAUUUGUCUGCUUAAUUGCGUUAACGGACGAGACCCCAGCCUGCUAAAUAGCGCGGCCGAGCUUUGCUCGGUGCGAGCUUCUUAGAGGGACCAUGAUGCGCGAUAGCACAAGGAAGUUUGGGGCAACAACAGGUCUGUGAUGCCCUUAGAUGUUCUGGGCCGCACACGGGCUACACUGGCGCCUGCAACGAGCAUAUCAGCUGGCCCGAGAGGGUCUUGGCUAAUCUUUGGAACCGGCGCCGUGCUUGGGAUUGACCAUUGCAAUUGUUGGUCAUGCAACGAGGAAUGCCUUGUAAACACGAGUCAUCAGCUCGCAUUGAACACGUCCCUGCUCUUUGUACACACCGCCC